RNAcentral lists this long non-coding RNA (464 nucleotides) under Brassica napus (rape). Its description in RNAcentral is "long non-coding RNA (BNAP_LNC005719)". The record is from RNAcentral. Lineage: Eukaryota; Viridiplantae; Streptophyta; Magnoliopsida; Brassicales; Brassicaceae.
AGUGUCGAUCGACGGGACAUGAAUAGUGUUGAUCAACGGAAUUUGAAUAGUGUCGAUCGAUGAAAGGUAAAUAGUGUCGCGAUAAAUAGUAUCGCGAUGAACAGUACUAGGAUGAAUAGUAUUAUGAUGAACAGUACCUCGAUGAAUAGUGCCUCGGUGAACGGUGUUGUUUGACGAUUUGUUGGCUCUGUCGAUCACCGCUGCUUAUCGUUGGUCGAUCGACGUCGGAUGAAUGGUGUCGAUCGAUUGAUGGUGUAUGCUGUCGAUCGAUGCUUCUUGGAGGAUGUCGAUCGAUACUUCCCUCUUAGACUAACAGAUCGUGCAUAGACCAGUAGACUCCUUCCUUGAAGGACCUAUAAAUCCUCUCUUCAUUGCUCUGGGCUCCAUGCAGUCAUAAAAUAUACAAGGCCCACGAUCUGGGAUCUCCAUCAAUCGACGUGCAGAGUGCUGCAUCGAUCGACGUG